CGAGACCCUGAGAUCAUGACCUCAGCCGAAAUCAAGUCAGACGCUUGACUGAGCAGCCCAGGCGCCGCUGCUCGCCGAUAUUAACUCACUGUGGGAGACUCCUGAUGGCUGCAUAUUCCUCAACACUCUCCCUGUGGCGAGGGAGGGGCUAUUGCUCCUUCCUCGGAGCCGGGGCAGGCCUCCGAUGGUCUGGACUGAGAGACUUUGGUAGAAACGAUGUCACCCUAGUUUCAUGGCUCUUUCUUACGAGGGCUGGCUGCUUCUACCCUGAUCCUGAAUCCUGAACCAGCCUGUAAGACGUGCAGUUGCCCUACUGAAGAGACCAUCCAGGGGGACCCUGAGGCCCAGGAAUGGGAGAGCGACCCAGCUGAGCUCAGCCCUACAGACACGUUUGCCUUCUGCCUGCCUCAUCUCUAAGUCCCAGUUCAAAGGCCACCUGUCAUCUGGAUCACUCUUUGAUCCCCUUUGAUCCCCACAGAGAAGGAGAGGCCAGACGGAAUCCCGUAUUCGCUGAGUGCCAAGCACGUUCUAGGGGCACCACGUGUCAUUUUUCCAGCUGAGGCAGGAACACAGAGAGCACAUCUUCGACAUGCAAACAUCAGGCUGGGAGGGGACACAAGAUGGUGCAGCUUACCCAGGGCACUCUGCCUGGUGAUCAUCCUCGGACAUGGAGGAGUACACAAGGCAACAGACUCGUACCAUGGCAUUCACUCAUGUUAUGUGCCCAGUUGUGAGAUGCAGCUGGCUCCUGACAAUUCAGGUACAGCAUCAACUGUGAGAAAAUACCUCCUGGGUGUGGGCUAUUGUCCUAUAGGGUGGAUUGAAUGCAGUGCAAGAUCAAUGAAGAAAGAACGCUGUCUCUCCACAGCUGGAACGCUGGACCAGAGAACCAGUGGUAAAAGCAGCAAUAGUACCUCUCACUCUUACACCUGAGGCCCAUCUGCAAAAUCCUUGUUAUCCAUCACCAUGAAUUUGGACUCUGCUCUGUCAGAAGUCUAGGGCCUAAGGGACAGGUGAUUCAUCACAGGAUAUAACAAUGUCUCCACUGAGACUGCCAUUUUGCUUUCCUCAUGCCAUUGAUCCAAUAGCCCCACCAUAUUCUAUGUCAGCCGGGGGGUUUAUCCUGUCAAGCGUGGGGAGUUAGUGCUGCUGCUGGCAAUGUGAGUGAGGAGGAAUGUGCUAGAAUCCGAGGUAAUGAUUUAGAGUACCUCGUUCCGAUGUCAGGUCUGGUGGGAAAAAUUCGUGCAAGACUUCAGCAAGUCCAUACAGACAAGACCAUAAGGGGCUCAGACCCUGUGGAAAUACGGAUUUGGGUCCUCCACUACAACCCCCCACACAAAUAAAGAACUCACCCAGCUAAGAUGCUCCCAUGCAAUGGGUGGAAGGAGAACCCAUUUUAAACAUCAGUCACAAUCUCUUGAUUAAUUGUAGAAACUAAGACCCUAGUAACUACCCCUCUUUUCAGCUUUGCUUUCUUAAGCAUGUAUUUGUAAAAGUGAAACGAUUUCCUUCUCCCUUUUUCACAGCAUGAAUAAAAGGAGUGCUGAAGGGGGUUAGCCAUUAAGUCCCUAGCGUAUAGGACAGUAAGGUGGGAUUAUGACCGACCUGGAAGAGGAAAGGGUAUUACCCAGAGAUGUGUACAGUGAUUGGUGGACUAUGGCCUCCCUUUUAAGGGAGUGGGUGAGUGUAAAUAAAGAUGGCUGAGAGUGCAAGUAGGUGCCCACGGAAGAGAAGGCACGUUGGAGAGGAGUCACAGCGCCGGCUCUCAGCGUAUCUUCUAGUAAGUCUUUGCAGGAACUCAAAGCAGAAAUUUGCAUUUCCCAGCUUCCUUCACAGACAGGGUUCUGAAAAUGAGUUAAGUCCUUCCAGUUAGAUAAACAUAUGAGAUCUGGAAGGUAGAAGUUAGAUGGAAGCUGUGUUCCUGGAUGUUUCAGAAAGCUGAG
Callorhinus ursinus (northern fur seal) is the source of this 1943-nucleotide non-coding RNA. The record is from RefSeq and is a predicted model, not a curated record. NCBI's taxonomy places the organism in Eukaryota, Metazoa, Chordata, Mammalia, Carnivora, Otariidae.